RNAcentral lists this long non-coding RNA (201 nucleotides) under Mytilus galloprovincialis (Mediterranean mussel). Lineage: Eukaryota; Metazoa; Mollusca; Bivalvia; Mytilida; Mytilidae. The record is from RNAcentral.
CACUAGCUACGAGAUAUAAAAAAUCUAAUGUAUAUUUAUUUUUUGCUCAAUCAUUAAUGAAAUGCAAAUAGUGAAAAGAUAAUUUGCUUUUAGCAGCCAGUAUGGUUCAAUUUUUUCAAAAUACGCAUAAAACAUUGAUUAUGAAUUCGACCUCAUAGGAUCCGUAUUAAUGUGAACUUCAAUUUAACCACUCAGCUUGAG